This 460-nucleotide ribosomal RNA is filed under the name uncultured bacterium. Its description in RNAcentral is "partial 16S ribosomal RNA". It matches the Rfam family "Bacterial small subunit ribosomal RNA", at positions 338 to 795 of the family's 1533-position model. The record is from RNAcentral.
CCUACGGGUGGCAGCAGUGAGGAAUAUUGGUCAAUGGGCGCGAGCCUGAACCAGCCAAGUCGCGUGAGGGAAGACGGUCCUAUGGAUUGUAAACCUCUUUUGUCGGGGAGCAAAAGACGCCACGCGUGGCGUUCCGCGAGUACCCGAAGAAAAAGCAUCGGCUAACUCCGUGCCAGCAGCCGCGGUAAUACGGAGGAUGCGAGCGUUAUCCGGAUUUAUUGGGUUUAAAGGGAGCGUAGGUGGAUUGUUAAGUCAGUUGUGAAAGUUUGCGGCUCAACCGUAAAAUUGCAGUUGAAACUGGCAGUCUUGAGUACAGUAGAGGUGGGCGGAAUUCGUGGUGUAGCGGUGAAAUGCUUAGAUAUCACGAAGAACUCCGAUUGCGAAGGCAGCUCACUGGACUGCAACUGACACUGAUGCUCGAAAGUGUGGGUAUCAAACAGGAUUAGAUACCCUGGUAGUC